RNAcentral lists this ribosomal RNA (274 nucleotides) under uncultured bacterium. RNAcentral describes it as "partial 16S ribosomal RNA". It matches the Rfam family "Bacterial small subunit ribosomal RNA", at positions 523 to 796 of the family's 1533-position model. The record is from RNAcentral.
AUACGUAGGGCGCGAGCGUUGUUCGGAAUUACUGGGCGUAAAGCGCGUGUAGGUGGCCAGGUAAGUCAGGUGUGAAAGCCCUCGGCUCAACCGGGGAAGUGCACCUGAAACUGCCUGGCUAGAGGGCGGCAGAGGGAGGUGGAAUUCCUGGUGUAGAGGUGAAAUUCGUAGAUAUCAGGAGGAAUACCGGUGGCGAAGGCGGCCUCCUGGACCGUUCCUGACACUGAGACGCGAAAGCGUGGGGAGCAAACAGGAUUAGAUACCCUAGUAGUCC